UGACUCACCUGGCAGGGGAGACACCAUGAUCACGAAGGUGGUUUUCCCAAGGCGAGGCUCACCCGUUGCACUCCGGACGUGCUGGCCCCUGCGAUUUCCCCAAAUGUGGGAAACUCUGCUGCAUCAUUUGUGGUAGUGGGGGACUGCGUUCGCGCUCUCCCCUG
Molecule: small nuclear RNA, 164 nt
Filed under: Echinops telfairi (small Madagascar hedgehog)
Lineage: Eukaryota; Metazoa; Chordata; Mammalia; Afrosoricida; Tenrecidae
Description: U1 spliceosomal RNA (ENSETEG00000022652.1)
Rfam family: U1 spliceosomal RNA
About the family: U1 is a small nuclear RNA (snRNA) component of the spliceosome (involved in pre-mRNA splicing). Its 5' end forms complementary base pairs with the 5' splice junction, thus defining the 5' donor site of an intron. There are significant differences in sequence and secondary structure between metazoan and yeast U1 snRNAs, the latter being much longer (568 nucleotides as compared to 164 nucleotides in human).
Source: RNAcentral